UUAAUUGAAGUCAAAAAGAGACAUAUUACUGUUAAUAAUAUAAUUGAAAUUAAUUCCAAUUAAAA
This 65-nucleotide transfer RNA is filed under the name Cephalonomia gallicola. RNAcentral describes it as "tRNA-Asn". The record is from RNAcentral. Lineage: Eukaryota; Metazoa; Arthropoda; Insecta; Hymenoptera; Bethylidae.